GUGCCAGCAGCCGCGGUAAGACGAAGGGGGCUAGCGUUGUUCGGAAUUACUGGGCGUAAAGCGCGCGCAGGCGGUCUUUCACGUCCGGGGUGAAAGCCCAGAGCUCAACUCUGGGAUUGCCUUGGAUACGGGGAGACUUGAGGGUCGGAGAGGCAAGGGGAAUUCCACGUGUAGCGGUGAAAUGCGUAGAUAUCAGGAGGAACACCCGUGGCGAAGGCGGCUCUCUGGCCUGUAACUGACGCUGAGGCGCGAAAGCGUGGGGAGCAAACAGGAUUAGAUACCCUGGUAGUCCACGCCGUAAACGAUGAGUGCUAGGUGUCGGGGGUUUCGAUACCCUCGGUGCCGAAGUCAACACAGUAAGCACUCCGCCUGGGGAGUACGCUCGCAAGAGUGAAACUCAAAUGAAUUGACGG
RNAcentral lists this ribosomal RNA (413 nucleotides) under uncultured bacterium. RNAcentral's name for it is "bacterial SSU rRNA". It matches the Rfam family "Bacterial small subunit ribosomal RNA", at positions 505 to 916 of the family's 1533-position model. The record is from RNAcentral.